RNAcentral lists this long non-coding RNA (980 nucleotides) under Setaria italica (foxtail millet). RNAcentral's name for it is "long non-coding RNA (SITA_LNC001667)". Lineage: Eukaryota; Viridiplantae; Streptophyta; Magnoliopsida; Poales; Poaceae. The record is from RNAcentral.
GACUUGUCGUCCAGCCCGCCCUCGUAGCACCACGCAUCGGCGCCGCCGUCGGCCACUCCCGCUCCUCCGCCGCCGCCGAACAUGAAGCGCAGCCACGCCGCGACGCCGCGCCCCGCGGGAGGCGGCGGCCCCCCGCCGCCGCGGUAGCGCUUGGCGCAGAGGAAGAUGUAGAAGCAGAGCACGAAGGUGAGGAACACCGCCGCCACGGCCGCCAGCAUCGUCGUCGCCGCCGCGACCGUCGUGGCCGUCACCGCCAUCGACGAUCGAUCGAUCGACCGACCAAUCAACCUCACGGCCUGCCCUGCCUUCCUUCCCCUUCCUCUGCCUUGGCUUCAAAGAACCUUGAAUUAUGCUCCUCCCUUACGCGAGCAGGAUCCUCUGCUGCUGGUGUACCCGUCUCCCCUGCUGCUGCAGCCGCGGGCUCCUCGGCGUCCCUGCCGCGAGGCUCUUUGAUGGCAUAAAUGUUAAAGCGCUCGGAGCGUUGGGGAUUUCGAAUGAUUAGCGCGCUACUUAUACGAGGGCGGCGCGGGAUUGGGGAGGAGGAUAAGACCCGGGCGAGAGAGGAAGGCUGGUCUGGCUUCGGUUUGGAGGGGAAGGUGAGCGAACCGUGGAGGCUGCGGCGCGGGCUAUGGCCCUGGAGGGAAAGCGAGGACGGCGACGGUUUUGAAAGCGUUGACGCGGUGCAAGUGGAGCUGUGGAAUGGAACCAGGCCUCCGCCUCUCCGGUUGGACCUCCCUCCCACGGCCGUCGCCGUCUAAUCCCCCGGCGAUGGCGCCGCCGAUGUUCUGUUCCGAUUCGCGCCGCUGCACGGUUGCACCGGAUGCAACGGCCCGGUGAGCCGCGACACCGACCGCAGCCACUGACACCCCGGGCCAGCUACAGAAUCGGCAUCCGCGGCGUGUCCCCUCCUCUGCGCCACUACGUGUCCUCUUCGCCAUGUUUCGUAGUACCAUCAAGUCAGUGAAACUGUAAUACUAACA